This 524-nucleotide ribosomal RNA is filed under the name uncultured bacterium. RNAcentral's name for it is "bacterial SSU rRNA". It matches the Rfam family "Bacterial small subunit ribosomal RNA", at positions 774 to 1296 of the family's 1533-position model. The record is from RNAcentral.
AGUAAAUAGAUACCCAGGUAGUCCACGCCGUAAACGAUGUCGACUUGGAGGUUGUGCCCUUGAGGCGUGGCUUCCGGAGCUAAACGCGUUAAGUCGACCGCCUGGGGAGUACGGCCGCAAGGUUAAAACUCAAAUGAAUUGACGGGGGCCCGCACAAGCGGUGGAGCAUGUGGUUUAAUUCGAUGCAACGCGAAGAACCUUACCUACUCUUGACAUCCAGAGAACUUUCCAGAGAUGGAUUGGUGCCUUCGGGAACUCUGAGACAGGUGCUGCAUGGCUGUCGUCAGCUCGUGUUGUGAAAUGUUGGGUUAAGUCCCGCAACGAGCGCAACCCUUAUCUUUUGUUGCCAGCGGUUAGGCCGGGAACUCAAAGGAGACUGCCAGUGAUAAACUGGAGGAAGGUGGGGAUGACGUCAAGUCAUCAUGGCCCUUACGAGUAGGGCUACACACGUGCUACAAUGGCGCAUACAAAGAGAAGCGACCUCGCGAGAGCAAGCGGACCUCAUAAAGUGCGUCGUAGUCCGG